This 496-nucleotide ribosomal RNA is filed under the name uncultured bacterium. Its description in RNAcentral is "partial 16S ribosomal RNA". It matches the Rfam family "Bacterial small subunit ribosomal RNA", at positions 30 to 523 of the family's 1533-position model. The record is from RNAcentral.
AUUGAACGCUGGCGGAAUGCUUUACACAUGCAAGUCGAACGGUAGAGGGGGCAACCCCUCGAGAGUGGCGAACGGGUGAGUAAUAUAUCGGAACGUGCCCAGUCGUGGGGGAUAACGUAGUGAAAGUUACGCUAAUACCGCAUACGAUCUAAGGAUGAAAGCGGGGGAUCGCAAGACCUCGCGCGAUUGGAGCGGCCGAUAUCAGAUUGGGUAGUUGGUGGGGUAAAGGCUCACCAAGCCAACGAUCUGUAGCUGGUCUGAGAGGACGACCAGCCCAACUGGAACUGAGACACGGGCCAGACUCCUACGGGAGGCAGCAGUGGGGAAUGUUGGACAAUGGACGCAAGUCUGAUCCAGCCAUUCCGCGUGCAGGAUGAAGGACCUCGGGUUGUAAACUGCUUUUGUACGGAACGAAAAGGUCUCUCUUAAUACGGGGGACUCAUGACGGUACCGUAAGAAUAAGCACCGGCUAACUACGUGCCAGCAGCCGCGGUAA